Molecule: ribosomal RNA, 445 nt
Filed under: uncultured bacterium
Lineage: Bacteria
Description: partial 16S ribosomal RNA
Rfam family: Bacterial small subunit ribosomal RNA
Source: RNAcentral
GUGAGGAAUAUUGGACAAUGGGCGCAAGCCUGAUCCAGCCAUGCCGCGUGCAGGAAGACGCAUCUAUGGUGUGUAAACUGCUUUUGUACGGGAAGAAACACUCCCUCGUGAGGGAGCUUGACGGUACCGUAAGAAUAAGGAUCGGCUAACUCCGUGCCAGCAGCCGCGGUAAUACGGAGGAUCCAAGCGUUAUCCGGAAUCAUUGGGUUUAAAGGGUCCGUAGGCGGUUUAAUAAGUCAGUGGUGAAAGCCCAUCGCUCAACGAUGGAACGGCCAUUGAUACUGUUAGACUUGAAUUACAAGGAAGUAACUAGAAUAUGUAGUGUAGCGGUGAAAUGCUUAGAUAUUACAUGGAAUACCAAUUGCGAAGACAGGUUACUACUUGUGGAUUGACGCUGAUGGACGAAAGCGUGGGGAGCGAACAGGAUUAGAUACCCUUGUAGUCC